RNAcentral lists this transfer RNA (68 nucleotides) under Anguilla anguilla (European eel). Its description in RNAcentral is "tRNA-OTHER". The record is from RNAcentral. Lineage: Eukaryota; Metazoa; Chordata; Actinopteri; Anguilliformes; Anguillidae.
ACUGGGUGGCCCAGUGGUAGAGCUCCUGCCUGCCACGCCAGCGGCCGGGGUUCGUAUCCCGGCCAAUG